This 364-nucleotide RNase P RNA is filed under the name marine eukaryotic metagenome. RNAcentral describes it as "Bacterial RNase P class A". It matches the Rfam family "Bacterial RNase P class A". Rfam says of the family: Ribonuclease P (RNase P) is a ubiquitous endoribonuclease, found in archaea, bacteria and eukarya as well as chloroplasts and mitochondria. Its best characterised activity is the generation of mature 5'-ends of tRNAs by cleaving the 5'-leader elements of precursor-tRNAs. The record is from RNAcentral.
CGCUGCUUCAACUUGUUGAAGGGGAGGAAAGUCCGGACACCAUAGAGUACUGUACCAUGAGAAACCAUGGGCACUUUUGAAGGAAUUCUUGAGUGACAGAUAGGGCCGCAGAAAAUAGACUACCAAAAGGCUGCCUGAGCGUAGUCGAAGGCAGCUUUUUGGAAAAGGUGAAAAGGUGCGGUAAGAGCGCACCAGUAUUGCAAGAAAUUGCAAUAGCUUGGUAAACCUUGCAGGGUGCAAGACCAUGUAAACCGAAGUUUGAUCUCCUACGCUUCGGCUACGGAGAUUAUGAAGGGCUGCUCGCCCGAUUUCGGAGGGUAGGUUGCGUAGACAAAUGGUAGAUUAAAACAGAAUCCGGCUUAUU